This 464-nucleotide ribosomal RNA is filed under the name uncultured bacterium. RNAcentral's name for it is "bacterial SSU rRNA". It matches the Rfam family "Bacterial small subunit ribosomal RNA", at positions 29 to 506 of the family's 1533-position model. The record is from RNAcentral.
ACGAACGCUGGCGGCAUGGAUUAGGCAUGCAAGUCGAACGAUGAGAGAGAAGCUUGCUUCUUUUGAUUAGUGGCGAAAGGGUGAGUAACGCGUGAGUAAACUGCCCCCAAGUUGGGAAUAGCCCUGGGAAACUGGGAUUAAUACCCGAUGUGACAUUAAGAGUGCAUACUUUUACUGUUAAAGAUUUAUUGCUUGGGGAUGUGCUCGCGUUCCAUUAGCUUGUUGGUGAGGUAACGGCCCACCAAGGCAAUGACGGAUAGGUGAUCUGAGAGGACGACCACCCACACUGGGACUGAGACACUGCCCAGACUCCUACGGGAGGCUGCAGUCGAGAAUCUUCCGCAAUGGGCGAAAGCCUGACGGAGCAAUGCCGCGUGUAGGAUGAAGGCCUUCGGGUCGUAAACUACUGUCACCGGGGAUGAAUAAAUGACAGUACUCGGAGAGGAAGCCACGGCUAACUACGU